CGACGCUUAGCUUUUUGCUACGGAGUAGUGACCAAACAAUCACCCUGUCUCCUGCCCCCGGCGGCCGCGCGCGCGCGGUGGUUGGCCGGCCCGGCUCACCGGCCGGCAGACCGCCGUGUCCAUGCCCAAUUAAUUCCGGCAACGCUCCGUACGCAAUCGCCCAGCGGCUCGCUCGGUCGCGCACCACGCGAGUACGCGGCUUUCGCGCGGUCACAGGGUUUACAUGGAUAAUGGAUUUCUUUUUUCUCCCGGAGAUCGAGAUCGAAGACGUCGCCAUGACAGGUGAGUCGUGGCUCGCGACAGCUGGUAUCACUGAAGUAAUUAAGGUCGUCUUCGUUGUAUAGGAUUUUCGUGGGUCUAUUUCGUUUCGUUUUGAUGGAGUUUUAUUUAUUUGGAGGAAUUGAACUAUCUCUUUUGAAAAUCUUGCCCCACUGUCGUGUUCUCGUGAGGAUCCGAAAGGGUACGUAGCGAGCCAACUCAUUUCGAGCAGGAGUGAUGAUUUGAAGCUUUUAGUUUCUGUGUGUUUGAAAAGCUGUCAGAAUUUAAGAUGAAUUUCCACAAGUGCGGUUCUGUUUUUGACCAGGCUAAGAGCAGGGACGAUAACAUGUUAUAAGCCAGUUUUAAGCAUAUUUUAAAAAGAAGAGAGAAAAGAGGUGGACUACUAAUUUAUAGUCAGCUGCACACGGGUUGCAAGAUAAAAAUAUAUGUAUGCAUGUAGGACCAUAUAUUGAUGUUUUGUAGGUAACUAUUAUAUGAAUUGACUAUUAGAUUGACUAUAGAUGAAUUAGAGCUAGUAGUUGACUGUACUAUUGAACUUGCUCUAAAGAAUAUUAACGACAUUAUUCUCAUUUCAUUGGAUAUCAAAUUGAAAAUUUUCUUUUUCGAUAUUUGGGUAUUCCAAUUCACUUUAGGGAGAAACGAUCAAAUAAGGAUUGGAACGUGAAAGAGGGAAGAAUUACCGAAAAGAAGUUAAGCAAUUGGGAAGGAAAAAUAUGUCAGUAGGUGGGAGACUGGUUAUGAUAAACUCAGUUUUAACGAGUCUUAUCAUGUUUAUGAUUUUUUUUCGAAGUUCCUAUAGAAGCACUUUGAAAAAAAAUGAUUGUUACAGUUUUUUUUGGGGGGGAAAGUGGCAACAAUAAAAAAUACACUGUUUUGUCUAAAUGGGGCGUCAUUUGUCAACUGAAGGAUCAAGAGGGACUUGGUAUAAAGAAUAUAGAUAUAGAAAAUCAAUGUCUUUUAAGUAAAUGGUUAUUUAAGUUAGUAAAUGAGGAUGGUAUAUGACAAAAGUUUCUUAGAAGAAAAUAUAUUAAGAAUUAGGCAAUAACGUGUGUUAAAAAGAAACUAGGUUAUUCUUAUUUUUGGUCAGGGCUUAUGAAAGUUAAAGACAAGUAUUUUUGAUGUUAACAAUAAACAUGUCAGAUUUCGGGAGGAUAAGUGACUUGGUAUUCUUCUUGCUUCGUUAUAUAACAUUGUUUGCAAAAAAAAAAAAAUGCUUUGGUAGCAACUAUAUGAAUUCGAUGUCUCUAAAUAUUCCUUUUAGAACAGCUUUAGUAUCGCAUAAUCUCAUGUCAUGGGGUAUAAUUUGGUCGCUAAGCUUGUGUAUGUCAGUCUAAAUGAGGAUGAACAUUAAUUUCUUUUUGUUCGAUCGGUGUAUUCACCGUUGAUUAAUAAUUGGUUAUAUAGGGAGAAACAAGUUGUUGUGGAAAGCCAAAGUGCAUUUGAAAAUUAAAAUUUUCUUGUGGUACUUGUCCAAAGGCAUUAUUUUAACAAAAGAUAAUUUGGCAAAAAGGAAAUGGAAUGUUAGUAUAUAUGAAAUGAUGAAACUAUUAUUAACUUUUUCAUAUAUUACUCCCGUCCCAUACUAAGUGCAGCUCUGUAGUACCCUAGUAAGUACAACUCUGUCAUUCAAUUUGCGAUGGAGGUAGUAGCUUUUUUUUUUUUUGGAGAAUGGUUUUUAUCUCUUUGUAGUUGAAUCCACCCCAAGUACUUCACAUAGUUGGAUUGGUUGACCGGUGUUAUUUUGAACCAAAAAUAAUAAUAAUGCUAGUAGGAGCAUUUUCUUUAUGUUGUAUUCUUUGACUUACUAUAGGAAUGAUGCGGUGUUUAGCAAAACUUUAAUUAAAACAUAUUUGCAGGUAAUCUUUGGAGCGGCUUACUGGUUAAGAUUUUGGGCUCAGUUGCAAAGGUGCGAUGAUGAUAAAGAGCACAUCAUGCAGAAGUCUAGAAGUUAAUGUCACGUAGAUUUUCAUCAAAUUUUGAUAGAGAUUUACUAAUAGGUUAUCCAAUAAAUGAUGUAUCUCUAUAUAUCUUUGUCCGGUGAUUACUGAUUAAUAGUUGAUCUUUCAAGCUUUGUGGGGGUAAGAGCAAGAGUGUGAUGCAAAGUUUGUAAUAAUUGCUUGCAAUUUCUUUUUAAAUAAAGCCCGGGUGAUUUCAUCCAUUAUAAAAAAAAUAAUGUGUAAAAUAUUUACUUUAGAAGCAUGUAGUAAUUUCAUGUUCCUUGAAAAAAAUAUCUAGAUGUAUCAAAAUUUU
RNAcentral lists this long non-coding RNA (2529 nucleotides) under Oryza brachyantha (malo sina). Its description in RNAcentral is "long non-coding RNA (OBRA_LNC002485)". The record is from RNAcentral. Lineage: Eukaryota; Viridiplantae; Streptophyta; Magnoliopsida; Poales; Poaceae.